AUUGAACGCUGGCGGCAGGCCUAACACAUGCAAGUCGAGCGGAUGAAGGGAGCUUGCUCCUGGAUUCAGCGGCGGACGGGUGAGUAAUGCCUAGGAAUCUGCCUGGUAGUGGGGGAUAACGUCCGGAAACGGGCGCUAAUACCGCAUACGUCCUGAGGGAGAAAGUGGGGGAUCUUCGGACCUCACGCUAUCAGAUGAGCCUAGGUCGGAUUAGCUAGUUGGUGGGGUAAAGGCCUACCAAGGCGACGAUCCGUAACUGGUCUGAGAGGAUGAUCAGUCACACUGGAACUGAGACACGGUCCAGACUCCUACGGGAGGCAGCAGUGGGGAAUAUUGGACAAUGGGCGAAAGCCUGAUCCAGCCAUGCCGCGUGUGUGAAGAAGGUCUUCGGAUUGUAAAGCACUUUAAGUUGGGAGGAAGGGCAGUAAGUUAAGACCUUGCUGUUUUGACGGUACCAACAGAAUAAGCACCGGCUAACUUCGUG
Molecule: ribosomal RNA, 484 nt
Filed under: uncultured bacterium
Lineage: Bacteria
Description: partial 16S ribosomal RNA
Rfam family: Bacterial small subunit ribosomal RNA
Source: RNAcentral